RNAcentral lists this ribosomal RNA (231 nucleotides) under uncultured bacterium. RNAcentral describes it as "partial 16S ribosomal RNA". It matches the Rfam family "Bacterial small subunit ribosomal RNA", at positions 15 to 238 of the family's 1533-position model. The record is from RNAcentral.
GAUCCUGGCUCAAGACGAACGCUGGCGGCGUGCCUAAUACAUGCAAGUAGAACGCUGAAGGAGAAGCUUGCUUCUCUGGAUGAGUUGCGAACGGGUGAGUAACGCGUAGGUAACCUGCCUGGUAGCGGGGGAUAACUAUUGGAAACGAUAGCUAAUACCGCAUAAUAGUAGAUGUUGCAUGACAUUUGCUUAAAAGGUGCAAUUGCAUCACUACCAGAUGGACCUGCGUUG